UGGGGAAUAUUGGACAAUGGGCGAAAGCCUGAUCCAGCCACGCCGCGUGAGUGAUGAAGGCCUUCGGGUCGUAAAGCUCUGUGGGGAGAGACGAACCGCCAGGGGUUAAUAGCCGCUUGGCAUGACGGUAUCUCCUUAGCAAGCACCGGCUAACUUCGUGCCAGCAGCCGCGGUAAUACGAAGGGUGCAAACGUUGCUCGGAAUUAUUGGGCGUAAAGCGCACGUAGGCGGCCUAAAAAGUCGGAUGUGA
RNAcentral lists this ribosomal RNA (250 nucleotides) under uncultured bacterium. RNAcentral's name for it is "partial 16S ribosomal RNA". It matches the Rfam family "Bacterial small subunit ribosomal RNA", at positions 355 to 597 of the family's 1533-position model. The record is from RNAcentral.